GACGAACGCUGGCGGCGUGCUUAACACAUGCAAGUCGUACGGUAAGGCCCUUUCGGGGGUACACGAGUGGCGAACGGGUGAGUAACACGUGAGUAACCUGCCCACAACUUUGGGAUAACGCUAGGAAACUGGUGCUAAUACUGGAUAUGUGCUCCUGCUGCAUGGUGGGGGUUGGAAAGCUCCGGCGGUUGUGGAUGGACUCGCGGCCUAUCAGCUUGUUGGUGGGGUAGUGGCCUACCAAGGCGGCGACGGGUAGCCGGCCUGAGAGGGUGACCGGCCACAUUGGGACUGAGAGACGGCCCAGACUCCUACGGGAGGCAGAAGUGGGGAAUAUUGCACAAUGGGCGCAAGCCUGAUGCAGCAACGCCGCGUGCGGGAUGACGGCCUUCGGGUUGUAAACCGCUUUCAGCAGGGACGAAGCUUUUUGUGACGGUACCUGCAGAAGAAGCACCGGCUAACUACAUG
RNAcentral lists this ribosomal RNA (465 nucleotides) under uncultured bacterium. RNAcentral's name for it is "partial 16S ribosomal RNA". It matches the Rfam family "Bacterial small subunit ribosomal RNA", at positions 28 to 507 of the family's 1533-position model. The record is from RNAcentral.